Molecule: ribosomal RNA, 1043 nt
Filed under: human gut metagenome
Description: bacterial SSU rRNA
Rfam family: Bacterial small subunit ribosomal RNA
Source: RNAcentral
AGAGUUUGAUCCUGGCUCAGGAUGAACGCUAGCUACAGGCUUAACACAUGCAAGUCGAGGGGCAUCAGGAAGAAAGCUUGCUUUCUUUGCCGGCGACCGGCGCACGGGUGAGUAACACGUAUCCAACCUGCCCUUUACUCGGGGAUAGCCUUUCGAAAGAAAGAUUAAUACCCGAUAGCAUAAUGAUUCCGCAUGGUUUCAUUAUUAAAGGAUUCCGGUAAAGGAUGGGGAUGCGUUCCAUUAGGUUGUUGGUGAGGUAACGGCCCACCAAGCCUUCGAUGGAUAGGGGUUCUGAGAGGAAGGUCCCCCACAUUGGAACUGAGACACGGUCCAAACUCCUACGGGAGGCAGCAGUGAGGAAUAUUGGUCAAUGGGCGCUAGCCUGAACCAGCCAAGUAGCGUGAAGGAUGAAGGCUCUAUGGGUCGUAAACUUCUUUUAUAUAAGAAUAAAGUGCAGUAUGUAUACUGUUUUGUAUGUAUUAUAUGAAUAAGGAUCGGCUAACUCCGUGCCAGCAGCCGCGGUAAUACGGAGGAUCCGAGCGUUAUCCGGAUUUAUUGGGUUUAAAGGGAGCGUAGGUGGACUGGUAAGUCAGUUGUGAAAGUUUGCGGCUCAACCGUAAAAUUGCAGUUGAUACUGUCAGUCUUGAGUACAGUAGAGGUGGGCGGAAUUCGUGGUGUAGCGGUGAAAUGCUUAGAUAUCACGAACAACUCCGAUUGCGAAGGCAGCUCACUGUACUGCAACUGACACUGAUGCUCGAAAGUGUGGGUAUCAUACAGGAUUACAUAGCCUGGUAGUCCACACAAUACACGAUGAAUACUCGCUGUUUGCGAUAUACAGUAAGCGGCCGAGCGAAAGCAUUAAGUAUUCCACCUGAGGACUACGCCGGCUACCGUGAAACUAACAGGAAUUGACGGGGGCCAGCACUAGCGGACGAACAUGUGGGUUGAUUCGAUGAUACGCGAUGAGCGUGACACGGGCUUCAAUCGCAGUGNAAUGAUGUGGAAACAUGUCAUUGAGCAAUCACAGCUGUGAAAGUGCUGCA